This 94-nucleotide transfer RNA is filed under the name Eikenella sp. HMSC071B05. RNAcentral's name for it is "tRNA-Ser". It matches the Rfam family "tRNA". Rfam says of the family: Transfer RNA (tRNA) molecules are approximately 80 nucleotides in length. Their secondary structure includes four short double-helical elements and three loops (D, anti-codon, and T loops). RNAcentral also lists the same sequence under 1 other name. Lineage: Bacteria; Pseudomonadati; Pseudomonadota; Betaproteobacteria; Neisseriales; Neisseriaceae. The record is from RNAcentral.
GGAGUAGUGGCUGAGAGGUUGAAGGCACACCCCUGCUAAGGGUGCAUAUGGGCUAAAACCUGUAUCGAGGGUUCAAAUCCCUCCUACUCCGCCA